Molecule: small RNA, 394 nt
Filed under: Histoplasma capsulatum
Lineage: Eukaryota; Fungi; Ascomycota; Eurotiomycetes; Onygenales; Ajellomycetaceae
Also listed under: 1 other name
Description: hypothetical RNA
Source: RNAcentral
GUGGGACGGUUAAUCUUGUUAUUGUUGCGAUCAGAGCAAGUUAGCUAUAUAGGGUUCAUCGCCAGCGGUGGAGUGGCUGCCGCAAUCAACAACACCCCUUCAUCAUCUUGACUAGCUGAUUUGAAUCUGUGAUAGCAUGUUGACACUCUUGUAGUGGAAUUUUUGCACUCAUACAGGCCUCAUAACCUCCGAAUAACCCAACACAAAAGAGCUUUUUUGGCAAUCGCCUCACGGACAAAACACGUACAAAGCGCUGGAGAAGGCAUCCUGAAAAGCCAUGUUUCGUACCUUAACAUUUGCCUGGAGCCGCUGCGUAAUAAGGGUCAAAGACAACUCACCGCUAUGGCAACACUUUUGUUAUUCAACUCCCCCCUCCUGUCGACUGAUGUCUGGC